Molecule: ribosomal RNA, 387 nt
Filed under: Triticum aestivum (bread wheat)
Lineage: Eukaryota; Viridiplantae; Streptophyta; Magnoliopsida; Poales; Poaceae
Description: partial small subunit ribosomal RNA
Source: RNAcentral
AUGGGUCUAAUCAGUUGCACAGAUGCACCUACAAGUUGCACAAAUAACACACAUGAUGGGCACUGUUUUUUGCUGUUAUAUUGCAUUUUUUCUAUUUUCAAGCUUUUCACACAAGGUCUAUUCCAGCUGCACACAAUAGACACAAAUCCGAAAGUACUUUUAUUCAAGUCAAAACAUCCAAAUUACUUUUGUCAGUUGCACAAUUCUUUUUUAAGUUGCAUAGAAAGAAGCCAUAAGUUGCACACCACAAACCUAUCUAGUUUCAAUAUGUUGUCAGGUUUGAUGCCACAUAGUGUUUUUUUUCUGUUUUUCCAUAGUUUCACACAGGGGAUUCUUCCAAAUUUGGCCAAGAUGACAUACAACAUGGGGUCCCAUGUCUUCUCAUGA